AUGGCGAAGGCAGCUCCAGGCGUGGACGACGGAGGCGGGUCUGGCGGCCGGCUGCGGCGAGUAAGGACAGCACGGGGCCGUGAGCCCAGGCGGCUCGGAAGCGGCCCGGCCGCUCAAGGUGGAGCAGCACAAGGCAGAUUCCUAGAAGCAGAGACCCGUGCCCACUUCCCAGUCAUGGUUUUCCUUGCCUCAAACUUUUUUCUUUCACGGGCCAGACUGCACUUUUGCGAAAAAAUAGUGCUACUCCAGAAUAGAAAAUACACCUGGAGUAAUGAGCAAAGCAACCCGACAAUGUUCAAACUAGAUGAGUUUUUUUGUAAUGAGGAAUGGGAUAUCACUUUCGAUAAACACAUCCUUCACGCCCUGUCAUCCUCAUUUUCGGAUCACUACCCUCUACUCCUCGCCAAUGAAGAUGGGCCUCGGCAGCCGCGGACUUUCAGAUUUGAAAUUUUUUGGACCAACAUGCCAGGCUUUCAGCAGGUCGUCCAGGAUGCGUGGAAUGAGACAUCCGCAGACAAUGAGCCAUACCAAAGACUGUUUCACAAGCUAAAAAAGACAAGUCAGAAGCUUCGCUCCUGGAACAAAAGCCUUUUCUCUAAUGCCAAAGUCCAGCUACAUAUGGCUCUGGAGGAGGAUGUCCAAUACCUUACCAACAUACUUUCCUCCUUUGGUGAAUCUACUGGCCUCUCCACAAACUGCACCAAAAGUUCCGUGGUACCCAUCAGAUGUGCCAAUGUGGACCUAGAUGAUGUUCUCCAGUCUUUCCCGGCUUGCCGCGCCUCCUUCCCGAUCCGCUAUCUUGGGCUCCCCCUCGCGGUCAAAAGAUUAAAGAGGGUGCAUCUCCAACCUUUGGAAGACAAGGCUGUGGGUAAAUUGGCACCUUGGAGAGGAAGGCACGUUGCUAUUGCGGGUCGCAUGACCUUGGUGAAGGCAGUCCUUACGGCGGUGGCCAUUUAUCACAUCACGCCGCUCGACAUCCCGGUGGAGGUUAUAAAAGCGAUUGACAAGUUGCGGCGUGCCUACCUCUGGGCGGGAUCUGACUCGGUUAGUGGCGGCAAGUGCAAGAUUAAUUGGGAGCAUGUCUGCAAGCCAAAGGAGUAUGGGGGCCUUGGCAUUUUGCACCUUCGCAAAUUUGCUGCCGCCCUCUGGCUGAUGUGGCUAUGGCUUGAGUGGAAUGACCCACCUCGUGCGUGGUGUGGAUUGGGGACGCCUUGCAUGACUUCCGACCGCGACCUUUUCGCGGUCUUGACCGAGGGCGUUAGGCCCAAAGAUAUUGCGCCAAAGAUUUUGGAUAUUUCACGCAAGAAAGGUGUUACGGUUGCCACGGCCUUAAGGGAUGGGCACUGGAUAGCACAAAUCAACAUUGACGCUGGCCUCACUCUAGAACACCUUCAACAAUUCUUGGCCCUUUGGGAGAAGCUAGCGACUGUGGCCAUUCAGCCGGGUGUCCAGGACUCCAUAUUGUGGAAGUCAACCAAUGAUGGGCAGUACUCUGCAAAGUCUGCUUAUUUGGCGCAGUUUCAUGACCUCCCGCUCUCAAUGAAAUCUUGGUGGGAUGCGGUUCUCUCUGAUAAUACACUCCCGAUGAAGGCCCUAUCUUCCCUGUUACUUCUUAUGGGAUGGAAGAUAUGGAAUGAAAGGAAUGCUCGUGUCUUCAGGAGCAAAGCGGCGCCGGUGGCGAUUGUCAUGCGACGCAUCAAAGAUGAAGUUUUGAUUUGGGCCACUGCAGGCGCUAAGCAUUUGCGUAAUGUAAUACCGCGAGAGUAA
Molecule: ribosomal RNA, 1767 nt
Filed under: Triticum aestivum (bread wheat)
Lineage: Eukaryota; Viridiplantae; Streptophyta; Magnoliopsida; Poales; Poaceae
Description: partial small subunit ribosomal RNA
Source: RNAcentral